CCUACGGGGGGCUGCAGUGGGGAAUAUUGGACAAUGGGCGAAAGCCUGAUCCAGCCAUGCCGCGUGUGUGAAGAAGGCCUUCGGGUUGUAAAGCACUUUCAGUGGGGAAGAAAGCCUUGGGGCUAAUACCCUCGAGGAAGGACAUCACCCACAGAAGAAGCACCGGCUAACUCCGUGCCAGCAGCCGCGGUAAUACGGAGGGUGCGAGCGUUAAUCGGAAUUACUGGGCGUAAAGCGCGCGUAGGCGGUCUGAUAAGCCGGUUGUGAAAGCCCCGGGCUCAACCUGGGAACGGCAUCCGGAACUGUCAGGCUAGGGUGCAGGAGAGGAAGGUAGAAUUCCCGGUGUAGCGGUGAAAUGCGUAGAGAUCGGGAGGAAUACCAGUGGCGAAGGCGGCCUUCUGGACUGACACUGACGCUGAGGUGCGAAAGCGUGGGUAGCAAACAGGAUUAGAUACCCCGUAGUC
RNAcentral lists this ribosomal RNA (464 nucleotides) under Vreelandella stevensii. Its description in RNAcentral is "partial 16S ribosomal RNA". It matches the Rfam family "Bacterial small subunit ribosomal RNA", at positions 338 to 795 of the family's 1533-position model. The record is from RNAcentral. Lineage: Bacteria; Pseudomonadati; Pseudomonadota; Gammaproteobacteria; Oceanospirillales; Halomonadaceae.